AUUGAACGCUGGCGGCAGGCCUAACACAUGCAAGUCGAGCGGAUGAAGGGAGCUUGCUCCUGGAUUCAGCGGCGGACGGGUGAGUAAUGCCUAGGAAUCUGCCUGGUAGUGGGGGUUACGUCCGGAAACGGGCGCUAAUUACCCCUUCCUCCUUGGGGGAGAAAUGGGGGGAUUUUCGACCCUACGCUUUCAAAUGAGCCUAGGUCGGGUUAGCUAGUUGGUUGGGUAAAGGCCUUCCAAGGCGACGAUCCGUAACUGGUCUGAGAGGAUGAUCAGUCACACUGGAACUGAGACACGGUCCAGACUCCUACGGGAGGCAGCAGUGGGGAAUAUUGGACAAUGGGCGAAAGCCUGAUCCAGCCAUGCCGCGUGUGUGAAGAAGGUCUUCGGAUUGUAAAGCACUUUAAGUUGGGAGGAAGGGCAGUAAGUUAAUACCUUGCUGUUUUGACGUUACCAACAGAAUAAGCACCGGCUAACUUCGUG
Molecule: ribosomal RNA, 483 nt
Filed under: uncultured bacterium
Lineage: Bacteria
Description: partial 16S ribosomal RNA
Rfam family: Bacterial small subunit ribosomal RNA
Source: RNAcentral